Molecule: ribosomal RNA, 497 nt
Filed under: uncultured bacterium
Lineage: Bacteria
Description: partial 16S ribosomal RNA
Rfam family: Bacterial small subunit ribosomal RNA
Source: RNAcentral
GAUGAACGCUGGCGGCGUGCCUAAUACAUGCAAGUCGAGCGAACGGACGAGAAGCUUGCUUCUCUGAUGUUAGCGGCAGACGGGUGAGUAACACGUGGAUAACCUACCUAUAAGACUGGGAUAACUUCGGGAAACCGGAGCUAAUACCGGAUAAUAUUUUGAACCGCAUGGUUCAAAAGUGAAAGACGGUCCUGCUGUCACUUAUAGAUGGAUCCGCGCUGCAUUAGCUAGUUGGUAAGGUAACGGCUUACCAAGGCAACGAUGCAUAGCCGACCUGAGAGGGUGAUCGGCCACACUGGAACUGAGACACGGUCCAGACUCCUACGGGAGGCAGCAGUAGGGAAUCUUCCGCAAUGGGCGAAAGCCUGACGGAGCAACGCCGCGUGAGUGAUGAAGGUCUUCGGAUCGUAAAACUCUGUUAUUAGGGAAGAACAUAUGUGUAAGUAACUGUGCACAUCUUGACGGUACCUAAUCAGAAAGCCACGGCUAACUACGUG